This is an RNA transcript of Tigriopus californicus, 1727 nucleotides long. It is a transcript of the gene named mucin-2-like, with no coding region annotated. NCBI's taxonomy places the organism in Eukaryota, Metazoa, Arthropoda, Copepoda, Harpacticoida, Harpacticidae. The transcript has 3 exons. The record is from RefSeq and is a predicted model, not a curated record.
UCUUUCAACCUAGACGUCAGUUACUGGGGCCCUACCGACAGAUAGGCGGAGAGAAGGUGCAAAACUGGACUUGAAGUAGGGAGAGGCACGAACAAUCGGGAUAUGUCGCACAAGCUUUGUCAUUCUUAGUUUACAUCUACACUACAACCAGACAUAUUCUCCGGGUUCUCGUUCCAUUAUGAAGCCAUUGGCGGAAUACGAACACUUCCAUCUGCAAAAAAGGCAACUUUUUCCAGAAAAUACUACUUCACCACUACAGCCAUGAAUCACAACGUUUAGGUACUGAGUUUGUAUCAUGCAUGUCCGGGGUGGCCAUUGCCUUCCCACAAACGUGAUAUCUGUCAGUAGUUUCCGCACGUGCAUCUCAGACAUUGUGAACUCCCUUAAUGGCGAACUCCUCCAUGUGAAAUUCUGCCACGAUGAAUUCCGGUAUACGGAACUCUGCCACGUUAAAGCGCGUUAUCAUUAGAGAUGGUUCACUUUGUGGAGUUCGUUCGCCAUGGUGAAGUUUACAGUGGCGGAAUUUAUCACUGGCUUGCUACGACUGACAUUCACUGGCGAAAAAACUUUGUUGGUGAUCGCUGUGGAGGAAAACAAAUGAAACCAGGAAUAACAAUUACACAACGGUCAUACUUGCGCGAGCACCUUGUACUUAUAAAUGAUCAAAUAUGCCCCUUAUGAUGAUUCAGAUUUGCAUUCUCUAUAACUUGAAAAUAAGUAUCAAGACAAUACUACAUUAUUGUCAUUCGAAUUUUGUUUGGUCUUUCAAGGGUUUUUCUAACCGCUACAGGGAAUGUUAUCCCCAGUACUAUUAUUAUGGUGUUCGUAGUGGUUUUGCGAGGGAAGAAGUUGCCAAGAUGUAUUUGAGCAGUUCCCUCAAAACCUGGGAAAUUUUUACCUAACCGGAAAAGAAAAAGAUACUAAAGGAAAGACUUCUCCAAUUUUAAAAAAGGCACCAACUUCUGGAAUAGAGUGAAAGCCGACGGCUAAGACAGCAUGGACAGGUGACUCACAUCUGCAAAUGCUAAAGUACGAAGCUAACCAAGACAUCCAAUAACCAAUGAUACUGGCAAUGAAGAAGCAACACACAUCUAGCAUGUUUUCAUAUCCACUUACGUAAAUAACCUUCAUGAUUUUCUGCUGUGUAAUCCCUCGAAUUGUACGUUUAACAUAAUUCAUUUUUUGAUCUCGUCUGAUGAGAGGCUAAGAAUUAACUGAUGUAUGUGGAAACUUAAAGUGAACAGGAUCUGAGAAUGAGCGAGAAACUAGGCAUUUUCAAUUGAAGUCGGGUGACGUGAAUCAGUGCCUUAGGCACAUGGAACAAUAAGGGAUCAGUUUUCCCCAACUUGACUUUGGUCACUUGAUCAUUAAAGGAAGUUAGUGGAGUUUCAGCCUAACUCACCUCUUGCAACCACCCUGGAUUUGAAGUAGCCAGCUUCUAAGGACUCGGGUAAGCCCUUCUCCUCCUCAACUGUCUUCUUCAAAACCAUAGAUGGCAGGCAAGGUAGGAGUCUUAGACAUCACCAACACUUUUCAACGAUCUCCCAAACAAAGUCUCAUUGCGGACCACCGUGACGAGAAAUGCAUUCAGUUCUUCUGAUUAAAAGUAAUUUUCCUUCCUCCUUGUCUCUGUUUAGCAAUGACGUAGUCCUCGCCUGUGAAAUAUUGGUAAUUUUCAUUUUUCAAGCGCUAGUUAGUAAGUAGUUAUGUAAAACAGAAAAGAGAUG